This 253-nucleotide ribosomal RNA is filed under the name uncultured bacterium. RNAcentral's name for it is "partial 16S ribosomal RNA". It matches the Rfam family "Bacterial small subunit ribosomal RNA", at positions 524 to 776 of the family's 1533-position model. The record is from RNAcentral.
UACGUAGGUGGCAAGCGUUGUCCGGAUUUACUGGGCGUAAAGAGCGCGCAGGCGGCCAAGUCAGUCGAAUGUGAAAGCCCCCGGCUCAACUGGGGAGGGUCAUUCGAUACUGCUCGGCUCGAAGACAGGAGAGGGAAGUGGAAUUCCCGGUGUAGUGGUGAAAUGCGUAGAUAUUCGCAAGAACACCAGUGGCGAAGGCGGCUCACUGGCCCGGUACUGACGCUGAGGUGCGAAAGCGUGGGGAGCAAACAGG